This 97-nucleotide small nuclear RNA is filed under the name Sus scrofa (pig). Lineage: Eukaryota; Metazoa; Chordata; Mammalia; Artiodactyla; Suidae. The record is from RNAcentral.
GUGCUUGCUUCAGCAGCACAUAUACUAAACUUGGAACAUAGUAAUGUGGCCUCUGUAUAAAGAUGACAUCCGAAUUCAUGAGGCGCUCUACUUUUCA